UACGUAGGGAGCAAGCGUUGUCCGGAUUUAUUGGGCGUAAAGCGAGCGCAGGUGGUUUAUUAAGUCUGGUGUAAAAGGCAGUGGCUCAACCAUUGUAUGCAUUGGAAACUGGUAGACUUGAGUGCAGGAGAGGAGAGUGGAAUUCCAUGUGUAGCGGUGAAAUGCGUAGAUAUAUGGAGGAACACCGGUGGCGAAAGCGGCUCUCUGGCCUGUAACUGACACUGAGGCUCGAAAGCGUGGGGAGCAAACAGG
RNAcentral lists this ribosomal RNA (252 nucleotides) under uncultured bacterium. RNAcentral describes it as "partial 16S ribosomal RNA". It matches the Rfam family "Bacterial small subunit ribosomal RNA", at positions 524 to 776 of the family's 1533-position model. The record is from RNAcentral.